CUCAAGCACUUAACAUCUGAAGGAAUUCGAUGAAGUGCCCCUAGCCGAGACAGCCAGCUGAGAGGAAGCCAGGGAGCCCUGGUCCACCCUGAGGUUGUGGUCUACGGCUGGAGGGGGAUGACACUCUGAGGACUGUGAGGAGGAUGAGCAGGCACAAUGGGAGCUGUCUCCUCACCUCCUGUGGGACUCCAUCAGCCCGGCCGUGAUCCCCCAGCUGCCUGUUUGUCAGGAGGGCAGGAAGGAACCACACUGUGCUGGCAACUCAGGGUCCUCCGAAGCAACCCGUUCCACAUAGGAGUUCAGCUAUGGUGAAAGAUCCAAGGCCACUCCUUGCUGAAGAAAAGAGUUUGUUUGGUGAUUGGCAGUUACCACCUUCAUCCUCCUGAGGGUGAACCCCAUUGGCUAAAGGCCUUCCACCAGACCCUACCCUUUAAAGGUCCCUGGGCCAGUCACAUGCCCUCUCCCCUCUGCUGGCUAUGGUCACAGUGGAGCAUGGGAACUUUUGCUUAGACCUCUGCUUAUGAGAUUAAGGGGAGGGUCUUCCAGAUACCCACACAUCUCUCUCCUCUGUCCUUUCUCCAUGUCACCUUGUAAAGAGACCCCUGGACAUCCCUGACCCUCUACCCUCUGCCUCCUUGCUUGGUCUGGCCCUUUGUUUGUUUUGUCGUUUGAAACAAAGAGUUUCUCUGUGU
This 692-nucleotide long non-coding RNA is filed under the name Rattus norvegicus (Norway rat). Its description in RNAcentral is "long non-coding RNA NONRATT012793". Lineage: Eukaryota; Metazoa; Chordata; Mammalia; Rodentia; Muridae. The record is from RNAcentral.